AUGGCCGCGGGAUUCGACUGACUGAAGCUACCUUGUUACGACUUCACCCCAAUCACUAGUCAUACCUUGGGCACCUGCCUCCUUGUGGCUAGUACGGGGACUUCUAGUNCAACCAGCUUGCAUGAUGUGACGGGCGGUGUGUACAAGGCCCUGCAACGUAUUCACCGNGGCAUGCUGAUCCGCGAUUACUAGCGAUNCCAGCUUCAUGCAGUCGAGUUGCAGACUGCA
Molecule: ribosomal RNA, 228 nt
Filed under: unidentified eubacterium 19R6
Lineage: Bacteria
Description: partial 16S ribosomal RNA
Source: RNAcentral